UCUGUCAGUGAUGAUCUAUUACUUCUAUGCUUGAGUUUAACGACCAUGAGAAAACUCUCAUGCACUACCAUCUGAGACAGA
Notolabrus celidotus (New Zealand spotty) is the source of this 81-nucleotide small nucleolar RNA. Lineage: Eukaryota; Metazoa; Chordata; Actinopteri; Labriformes; Labridae. The record is from RefSeq and is a predicted model, not a curated record.